AGCGAACGCUGGCGGCAGGCCUAACACAUGCAAGCCGAGCGCUCGUAGCAAUACGAGAGCGGCAGACGGGAGAGUAACACGUGGGAACGUACCCUUUGGUUCGGAACAACCCAGGGAAACUUGGGCUAAUACCGGAUAAGCCCUUACGGGGAAAGGAUUUAUCGCCGAAGGAUCGGCCCGCGUCUGAUUAGCUAGUUGGGUGGGGAACGGCCCGACCAAGGCGACGAUCAGUAGCUGGUCUGAGAGGAUGAUCAGCCUCACUGGGAC
This 267-nucleotide ribosomal RNA is filed under the name uncultured bacterium. Its description in RNAcentral is "partial 16S ribosomal RNA". It matches the Rfam family "Bacterial small subunit ribosomal RNA", at positions 29 to 319 of the family's 1533-position model. The record is from RNAcentral.